UACCUUACAGCUCUGCAGGUUAGCAGUCCAGCACACGCCUCACUGGGCUAAAAUCAAGGUGUCAGCAGGGCUGCCUUCCUUUCUGGAGGCUCUAAGGGGAAAAGAAAAAUCUGUUCCGUUGCCUUGUAUAGCUUCUAGAAGCCACCCACAUUUCUUGUUCUGUGGCCUGCCGCCACCAUCUUCGAAGCCCACGACACUGCAUCUCUCUGGCUGGGCUUCUGCAGCCAUGACUCCCUCUGCCGCCAGCUGGGAAAGCUUCUCUACAGCUAAGGACUCGUGAUUAUACGGGGCCCACCUGGAUGAUCCAGGCUCUUCUUCCCCAUCUCAAAGUCCUUUGCUGUAAUCACAGUUCCUUGUUCCGUGUAAGCUCUGGCAUGCUGAUAUGCUGGAGCUAGGUCAGCCAUCUUCGCUGCAGGUGGAAUCUUCCUUUUAAGAAUAAGAGAUCAAAGAACAGAGGGAGCCUGAAUUACUGAUGCUCAUGGAGAUAUACCACCAGUUCUGAACUGCCUGAUUUACUCUUGCCACCGAGACAGUGACUUGUGCAAGAGCAGACCUUGGAAACCAAAUGAAUGAUAAAAGAGAAAAGCUGCUUUUAGAAACUCUCUCAAAUAUUAGGG
RNAcentral lists this long non-coding RNA (617 nucleotides) under Equus caballus (horse). RNAcentral's name for it is "lncRNA (ENSECAG00000052457.1)". Lineage: Eukaryota; Metazoa; Chordata; Mammalia; Perissodactyla; Equidae. The record is from RNAcentral.